UCUUAUAAUAGCAAAUCAUAAUGGCUUUAUUGGUACUCCUUGAGAAUUUUUGUCUAGAAUUGGUGUUGCAUUCUAGCUUGUUUUCAGUUUCUUCACGAUUAUAUUUUUCCAGUAGUUCUACAGAGGCUAGCCCUGGUUGCUCAGCCAGUUGCCCUGAGCCCUGUAACCCACUUAACGCCAGGUGGCCAGGAACUCCACCACCUAACGCGGACCUUAUAGACCCGGGCAAUGACUGAUCCGGUAUAGGAUUAUUUCCUGUUUUUCUAACCAUUUUGCUAGGAGGCACCAUUAGUCUGGCUCCUCUGCAGUGGUCUGCCUAUUAUGGUUGAACCUAUAUAGUAUAGCCCACUGCUUCAUUGAAGCACACAAGCCCCUC
This 376-nucleotide long non-coding RNA is filed under the name Androctonus crassicauda. Lineage: Eukaryota; Metazoa; Arthropoda; Arachnida; Scorpiones; Buthidae. The record is from RNAcentral.